Molecule: non-coding RNA, 83 nt
Filed under: Clostridium cavendishii
Lineage: Bacteria; Bacillati; Bacillota; Clostridia; Eubacteriales; Clostridiaceae
Description: c-di-GMP-II sequence
Rfam family: Cyclic di-GMP-II riboswitch aptamer
Source: RNAcentral
UGAAAUUUUGGAAGUUAUGAUGCUUGUUCUUUAUUUGGUCACUUUAGACAAGCGGAGCUAAUAGUGAACCCACUCCAAUUACU